GCCUGACGGUUCAAUUCUCCGGUGUCAGUACUACGCCCUUCCAACCAAAGAUUGCCUCUUUGAAGACCCUCUACAUGAUGGCAAGACAAUGCUUAAAAUUUGGAACCUCAACAAGGUGAGAAAUCAAACUGAAAACCAUGUUAGAACGCUCAUUUUGGGCUUGAUGGGCCUAUAAAUAUUUAAUAAGAUUGAUUAAUCAAACUGAAAUCAAUGUCAGAAAAACUCAUUUUAGGCUUGUUUUGGCAUAUAAAUGUUUGAUCAAAUUGAUUUCUUUGGAUUGCAAUAGUUUACAGGAGUUAUAGGGGCAUUCAAUUGCCAAGGAGGGGGUUGGUGUAAGGAGACAAGAAGGAAUAAAUGUGCCUCUCAAUUUUCUCACAAGGUAACUGCCAAGACCAAUGCUAAAGACAUUGAAUGGAAGAGUGGCAAGAACCCAAUCUCCAUUGAAGGAAUCCAAGUUUUUGCCAUGUAUUUGUCCCAAGCCAAGAAGCUAGUCCUCUGCAACCCAAAUGAAAACAUUGAAAUAGCUCUAGAGCCAUUCCAUUUUGAGCUUGUCACUAUUUCUCCAGUCAACAUCAUAGCAGAAAAAUCAAUUCAAUUUGCACCUAUUGGCUUGGUGAACAUGCUAAACACUGGUGGUGCAAUCCAGUCAUUGGCCUACAAUGAUUCCAACCGAUCGGUCCGAAUUGGGGUGAAAGGUGCUGGAGAAAUGAGGAUCUUUGCUUCUGAAAAGCCAAGAGGCUGCAGAAUUGAUGAAAAAGAAGUUGGAAUUGAGUAUGAGGAGUGCAUGGUUGUUGUUCAAGUACCAUGGUCCGCUUCUUCUGGUGUGUCUAUGGUUGAGUAUUUGUUUUAGUGCUAGAUUUUAAUUAGGAGCUUGAUGACAUAUUGUUCUCCCCAAAACUAUAAGAAAGUGAGUAAUUGUAUAGCAUUAAAUUCUUUUUUUAAUGUAAAAUCAAAACAGUUAAGUGACAUGGUA
This 973-nucleotide unclassified non-coding RNA is filed under the name Hevea brasiliensis (rubber tree). Lineage: Eukaryota; Viridiplantae; Streptophyta; Magnoliopsida; Malpighiales; Euphorbiaceae. The record is from RNAcentral.